UGUUUGAUCAUGUUGUUGAUGUCCUUGCUUUACCUUCUGCAAUUCUAUUGUCAAGUGCUGUGCUUAAUCAGGGAUGCAGAUCCCAUAAUUGGAAUAUAAGUUGCAUGGUAUAAACAAUGAAAUUUGGGAUCCUGUACUUUGGUUGGGUUGUGAAUGAGCUGAUCGCAUAGGUUCUAAUGACUAGAAAUCAUCCAGGACUGUUAUGUUAAGUUGCUUUUGGAU
Molecule: long non-coding RNA, 222 nt
Filed under: Phoenix dactylifera (date palm)
Lineage: Eukaryota; Viridiplantae; Streptophyta; Magnoliopsida; Arecales; Arecaceae
Description: long non-coding RNA (PDAC_LNC001119)
Source: RNAcentral